CCUACGGGAGGCAGCAGUGAGGAAUAUUGGUCAAUGGGCGAAAGCCUGAACCAGCCAAGUAGCGUGCAGGAUGAAUGCCCUACGGGUCGUAAACCGCUUUUGCACGGGGAUAACACGCUCCACGUGUGGAAGUCUGCAGGUACCGUACGAAUAAGGGCCGGCUAACUCCGUGCCAGCAGCCGCGGUAAUACGGAGGGCCCGAGCGUUAUCCGGAUUCAUUGGGUCUAAAGGGAGCGUAGGCGGAUCGUUAAGUCAGUUGUUAAAAUUUGCGGCUCAACCGUAACACUGCAGUUGAAACUGGCAGCCUUGAGUUCAGUACAGGCAGGCGGAAUUCGUGGUGUAGCGGUGAAAUGCAUAGAUAUCACGAGGAACCCCGAUUGCGAAGGCAGCUUGCUGGGCUGCGACUGACGCUGAGGCUCGAAGGUGCGGGUAUCAAACAGGAUUAGAUACCCCUGUAGUC
Molecule: ribosomal RNA, 460 nt
Filed under: uncultured bacterium
Lineage: Bacteria
Description: partial 16S ribosomal RNA
Rfam family: Bacterial small subunit ribosomal RNA
Source: RNAcentral